Molecule: ribosomal RNA, 396 nt
Filed under: Wolbachia endosymbiont of Culex duttoni
Lineage: Bacteria; Pseudomonadati; Pseudomonadota; Alphaproteobacteria; Rickettsiales; Anaplasmataceae
Description: bacterial SSU rRNA
Rfam family: Bacterial small subunit ribosomal RNA
Source: RNAcentral
GGUCGGUUCGGCCGGAUUUUACACAAGUGUUGCAUGGCUGUCGUCAGCUCGUGUCGUGAGAUGUUGGGUUAAGUCCCGCAACGAGCGCAACCCUCAUCCUCAGUUGCCAUCAGGUAAUGCUGAGUACUUUAAGGAAACUGCCAGUGAUAAGCUGGAGGAAGGUGGGGAUGAUGUCAAGUCAUCAUGGCCUUUAUGGAGUGGGCUACACACGUGCUACAAUGGUGUCUACAAUGGGCUGCAAGGUGCGCAAGCCUAAGCUAAUCCCUAAAAGACAUCUCAGUUCGGAUUGUACUCUGCAACUCGAGUAUAUGAAGUUGGAAUCGCUAGUAAUCGUGGAUCAGCAUGCCACGGUGAAUACGUUCUCGGGUCUUGUACACACUGCCCGUCACGCCAUGG